Molecule: long non-coding RNA, 210 nt
Filed under: Homo sapiens (human)
Lineage: Eukaryota; Metazoa; Chordata; Mammalia; Primates; Hominidae
Description: non-protein coding lnc-CALM2-7:1
Source: RNAcentral
GUUUGGAUAGGGUUUAAUAGUCUCCACCAAAAUGUAUGUUGAAAUUGGAUCCCCAAUGUGGUGGUGUUGGGCCUAAUGGGAUGUCUGGGUCAUGAGGGUGGAUUCCUCAUGAAUUGACGAAGAUCCAAAGCUAUGUAGCUGGUUUCAUCCAUACGCAGAAUACAGGGUUUCCUUCUUUACUGCACUGACACAGAGUAUACCAAUUCCUGG